Corythoichthys intestinalis (scribbled pipefish) is the source of this 1778-nucleotide long non-coding RNA. RefSeq lists it as uncharacterized. The transcript is spliced from 3 exons. The record is from RefSeq and is a predicted model, not a curated record. NCBI's taxonomy places the organism in Eukaryota, Metazoa, Chordata, Actinopteri, Syngnathiformes, Syngnathidae.
AUGGAAGGUGACUCGUGUUACCAAUUCGCCCUCGACUGGUAAUUGGCGGUGCUUUCAGCUUCCCACCGUCGUGAGAAGUGGACCGGCGAGUCACGUUGGCUCGUUGUCGUCGGUUGUCUUCGGUGCGCCCGAUGGCGGCUUGCAUACAAACACCCAGAGGUGUCGGAUGGCUUUUUGUGGGCACUUUUAUUAACAACCAAAAGCAUGCGGGGGGCACAGCAGUGGAGUCUACGCUAACUGCGCACUUUGCCGGUAACACUCUCCUUCCAAACAGUAACUCCCUCCCUCCUCCUCCCACUCCUCCCACUCCCAUACCAUCGCAAAGGGCUUGUUCUCACGAGGGUCAUGGGUGAACAGGAGCCUAUCCUAAAUGACUGAGGACACCCUGCAUGGACUGUUUGCCACUGGCAGUCCAUUUCAGGGCACAUGGACAGACAAGCAAGGGCAUAGGUUUGCACAGGGACGAGACAAAAACACUGGCGUCACAAUCAACAAGUCAAGGCCCGCAAGAUGAAAACUCAACCGGAAGAGAGGCGUACUUUUGAUGCAAUGAGUUCACAAUCCAUGCACAGUGAGAGCAAGUAAAAAAGAAGCCAGUGGAGUGAGUGGCGUAGGAGUUGGUAUUAUUGUAAUGAGAACCCCCCUGCAGCCCGAUGGAGACGGAGAUCAUCUAUUCUUGCCUGAACAAACCAUGUGUCACAAUGGAAGAGGCGUCAGCGAUCAAAAACAUGAAUGCCUCCCACAACUUCAGGGCUCGGCCAUACUACGUAGAACUCUGUUUAUGUAAGUUGUUUCUAUAAUGAAACCGACACUUAGUUUAAUAUAUAAAAUGUAUGUAAAAUCACAAUGUUGGAUGGAGAUGUGGUAUAGAUUUGUUUCACACUAUUCACUGUCGUUGAAACGGAACAACGGUCCUUGAAAAAGGUCGAUACUGUUUUCAAAGAAUAUUCACUGUGUUUUUAUUUUUUUGACUGGUAUUUUCUAUUUACCUGCUUUACUAGUUUUGGAUACUUCCUGUAGCUUCUGAUGAUGGCUACAGGUAGCAAGUAAAGCAGGUAAAUAAAAUACUCAAAUCUAUAUGAAAGAAAUCAAAAUAUGGGGAAUAACACUCCUCCUCGGUAUGUUUUAGCUGCUGGGGGGAGGGAAGAACUUUGUCUGCAGCAAUUACUGACCAUAUUCCUGGGAAUUUCUUGGGAUGAGUUCCUUCCCCAAGUGGAAGAGUUUAAGUAUCUCUAGGUCUUGUGCACGAGUGAGGGAAGAAUGAAGCGGAUCGGUACGGCAUCUGCAGUCAUGCGGACUCUGCAUCUGUCCGUUGUGGUUAAGAAGGAGCUGAGCCGAAAGGCGAAGCUCUCUAUUUACUGGUUGAUUUUCUUCGUUCCUACCCUCUCGUAACCAAAAGAACAAGAUCUCGUUUACAAGCGACUGAAAUGGGUUUCCUCCGCAGGGUGUCCGGGUUGAGAUAGGAAAACUCGGUCAUUCGGGAGGGGCUCGGAGUAGAGCCGCUGCUCCUCUACAUUGAGAGGUGUUAGAUGAGGUGGCUCGGCUAUCUGAUUAGGAUGUCUCCCAAACACCUCCCUGGUGAGGUGUUCCGUGUACGUCCUACAGGGAGGGACCUGGGGCCGACCCAGGACACGCUGGGGAAACUAUGUCUCCUGGCUGGUCUGGGAACACCUUGGGAACCCCCUGGAAGAGCUGGGUGAAGUGGCUGGGGGGAGGGAAGUCUGGGGUUUCUCGUCUGAAACUGCUGCACCCGCAAUCUGACCUUGGAUAAGCGGGAG